Molecule: ribosomal RNA, 583 nt
Filed under: uncultured bacterium
Lineage: Bacteria
Description: bacterial SSU rRNA
Rfam family: Bacterial small subunit ribosomal RNA
Source: RNAcentral
UAAUACGUAGGGGGCGAGCGUUGUCCGGAAUGAUUGGGCGUAAAGGGCGUGUAGGCGGUCCAUUAAGUCUGGAGUGAAAGUCCCGUUUUCAAGAUGGGAAUUGCUUUGGAUACUGGAGGACUUGAGUGCAGGAGAGGUUAUCGGAAUUCCCGGUGUAGCGGUGAAAUGCGUAGAGAUCGGGAGGAACACCAGUGGCGAAGGCGGGUAACUGGACUGCAACUGACGCUGAGGCGCGAAAGUGUGGGGAGCAAACAGGAUUAGAUACCCUGGUAGUCCACACUGUAAACGAUGAAUGCUAGGUGUAGGGGGUAUCGACCCCUUCUGUGCCGCAGUCAACACAAUAAGCAUUCCGCCUGGGGAGUACGGCCGCAAGGUUGAAACUCAAAGGAAUUGACGGGGGCCCGCACAAGCAGCGGAGCAUGUGGUUUAAUUCGACGCAACGCGAAGAACCUUACCAGGUCUUGACAUCCAGGUAAAGCACCAGAGAUGGUGUGUGUGCUUGCACAAUCUGAGACAGGUGGUGCAUGGUUGUCGUCAGCUCGUGUCGUGAGAUGUUGGGUUAAGUCCCGCAACGAGCGCAACC